This 520-nucleotide ribosomal RNA is filed under the name uncultured Glomeromycotina. Its description in RNAcentral is "SSU rRNA". It matches the Rfam family "Eukaryotic small subunit ribosomal RNA", at positions 569 to 1091 of the family's 1831-position model. Lineage: Eukaryota; Fungi; Glomeromycota. The record is from RNAcentral.
AGCAGCCGCGGUAAUUCCAGCUCCAAUAGCGUAUAUUAAAGUUGCUGCAGUUAAAAAGCUCGUAGUUGAAUUUCGGGACCAUCAUGUCGGUCGUGCCUCGGUACGUACUGGUAUUGUUGGUUUCUCCCUUCUGACGAACCAUGAUGUCAUUUAUUUGGUGUCGUGGGGAAUCAGGACUGUUACUUUGAAAAAUUAGAGUGUUUAAAGCAGGCUCACGCUUGAAUACAUUAGCAUGGAAUAAUGAAAUAGGACGUUUGAUUCUAUUUUGUUGGUUUCUAGGAUCGACGUAAUGAUUAAUAGGGAUAGUUGGGGGCAUUAGUAUUCAAUUGUCAGAGGUGAAAUUCUUGGAUUUAUUGAAGACUAAUUACUGCGAAAGCAUUUGCCAAGGAUGUUUUCAUUAAUCAAGAACGAAAGUUAGGGGAUCGAAGACGAUCAGAUACCGUCGUAGUCUUAACCAUAAACUAUGCCGACUAGGGAUCGGAUGAUGUUAAUUUUUUAAUGUACUCAUUCGGCGCCUUAC